CGGCCGCGGGGAGCUCAGGGAGCGCUCGCGCGGCGCGCUCAGGGCUUUGGAGCGCCAAAGGCCCGGCGUUCUCAAGCUGAUCCCGUUACUGCUGGAUAGUGUCUAAAUCCUCAGCACAGGCGCAAGGCAGGCCCGCUGCUGCUCAGCUGGAAAGGCUGUUCGGCUGCUUGCUGAGCAGAGGAGAAACUGAAGUACAGCUAUUAACGUACUUCAGAAAUUGUAUUGUGGCACUAAUCCCGGGUGGAUUAGGAUGUGCAGGAAGA
This is a long non-coding RNA of Corapipo altera (White-ruffed manakin), 263 nucleotides long. RefSeq lists it as uncharacterized. The transcript is spliced from 2 exons. The record is from RefSeq and is a predicted model, not a curated record. Lineage: Eukaryota; Metazoa; Chordata; Aves; Passeriformes; Pipridae.